This 419-nucleotide ribosomal RNA is filed under the name Fusobacteriota bacterium. RNAcentral describes it as "Fusobacteria bacterium partial 16S ribosomal RNA". It matches the Rfam family "Bacterial small subunit ribosomal RNA", at positions 355 to 776 of the family's 1533-position model. The record is from RNAcentral. Lineage: Bacteria; Fusobacteriati; Fusobacteriota.
UGGGGGAUAUUGCACAAUGGGCGAAAGCCUGAUGCAGCGACGCCGCGUGGGGGAUGAAGGCCUUCGGGUUGUAAGCUUCUUUUGCUCUGAACAAGGUGCACCGUGGGGUGUGUUGAGUGUAGGGGUUGAUUAGCGCCGGCUAACUACGUGCCAGCAGCCGCGGUAAUACGUAGGGCGCGAGCGUUGUCCGGAAUUAUUGGGCGUAAAGGGCUUGUAGGUGGCUGGUUGCGUCUGUCGUGAAAGCUCAUGGCUUAACUGUGGGUUUGCGGUGGGUACGGGCUGGCUUGAGUGCAGUAGGGGAGGCUGGAAUUCCUGGUGUAGCGGUGGAAUGCGCAGAUAUCAGGAGGAAUACCGGUGGCGAAGGCGGGUCUCUGGGCUGUUACUGACACUGAGGAGCGAAAGCAUGGGGAGCGAACAGG